AUUAAAUAUAAAAAUAUAUGUUCCACUUGUUGUUCCAGGCGUUCCAGCGAACCCACAUAUUACGUUAUUUAAAAUGUCUAAGGCAAGAAUAAAGCUGAAUGAUAAUAGUUUUGACCGCACCACUGCAGUUAAAGGAAGAUGCUGUUAACGGUAAGAGAGGUUAAGGGCAGGAGACGACGAAACACAGGCAGUAGGCACCUGUCAGUUUCACUACGGCGACCAGUCUCUUGCAACACCCACGCGGGACGAAUGCAUUUGAACCAUGUUAUUUGGAUUGCGACAAGUAGUCGGCGAAGGGGAGAAGAAUAAUAAUAAGAAUAUUUCACGGACGACGAACGGCGUACAAUUGAGAUUAAUCAAAUGUCCAAACAUUUGUUGUUCUCCAGCAAAAAUAUUAUGUAGAAAUGAUCUUAAGCAACACGAGCGAGAGUCGUCAAUAUUUUGUUAUUGCUUUCAAUAAAGAUCGAAAAAAUUGAAUCAAAAGACUUAAAACGAUUGAAGCGUAGUGUGUUGUCAUCAGGCAUACCAGGAUAAUAGAAGUAUUUGAAGUUUUGACGCUCAAGGAGAGUCUUACACACGUCUGAUUUGUAUAUAAUAACGUGACUACGAUACGGAGCUAUACGGGAACCGGAACUGGCGUAUCAAAGGACACACGUAUUCGUUUAUACAUUUAUUAUAUUAUAUAUUAUUAUUAUUGUAUAAAAGUUGUUCUAUAAUCAUUAUUUCAAAAAGUACCAAUAUCUUAAAGAAAUAACUUAAGCAAAAUAUUUUUUUGCAGUAUUUCGAUUUAUAAUUUUUCUAAUUUUGAACAAGCAUACUAAAUAAAUAAUUUCACAGUACUUAAAGUUUAAAUUGGCGGAGCAGAUAGUUGAGCC
Molecule: long non-coding RNA, 875 nt
Organism: Rhopalosiphum padi (bird cherry-oat aphid)
Lineage: Eukaryota; Metazoa; Arthropoda; Insecta; Hemiptera; Aphididae
Exons: 5
Source: RefSeq, a predicted model, not a curated record